Molecule: ribosomal RNA, 332 nt
Filed under: uncultured Oscillospiraceae bacterium
Lineage: Bacteria; Bacillati; Bacillota; Clostridia; Eubacteriales; Oscillospiraceae
Description: bacterial SSU rRNA
Rfam family: Bacterial small subunit ribosomal RNA
Source: RNAcentral
UGGGGAAUAUUGGGCAAUGGGGGAAACCCUGACCCAGCAACGCCGCGUGAAGGAAGAAGGCCUUCGGGUUGUAAACUUCUUUUACCUAGGGACGAAGGACGUGACGGUACCUGGAGAAAAAGCAACGGCUAACUACGUGCCAGCAGCCGCGGUAAUACGUAGGUUGCAAGCGUUGUCCGGAUUUACUGGGUGUAAAGGGCGUGUAGGCGGAGAUGCAAGUCGGGAGUGAAAUCCAUGGGCUUAACCCAUGAACUGCUUUCGAAACUGUAUCCCUUGAGUAUCGGAGAGGCACGAAAGUGUGGGGAUCAAACAGGAUUAGAUACCCUGGUAGU